This 84-nucleotide transfer RNA is filed under the name Gemmatimonadaceae bacterium. Its description in RNAcentral is "tRNA-Leu". It matches the Rfam family "tRNA". Rfam says of the family: Transfer RNA (tRNA) molecules are approximately 80 nucleotides in length. Their secondary structure includes four short double-helical elements and three loops (D, anti-codon, and T loops). Further hydrogen bonds mediate the characteristic L-shaped molecular structure. tRNAs have two regions of fundamental functional importance: the anti-codon, which is responsible for specific mRNA codon recognition, and the 3' end, to which the tRNAs corresponding amino acid is attached (by aminoacyl-tRNA synthetases). tRNAs cope with the degeneracy of the genetic code in two manners: having more than one tRNA (with a specific anti-codon) for a particular amino acid; and 'wobble' base-pairing, i.e. permitting non-standard base-pairing at the 3rd anti-codon position. Lineage: Bacteria; Pseudomonadati; Gemmatimonadota; Gemmatimonadia; Gemmatimonadales; Gemmatimonadaceae. The record is from RNAcentral.
GCUCGGGUGGCGAAACCGGUAGACGCGAGGGACUUAAAAUCCCUUGAGGGCAACCUCUUGCGGGUUCGAUCCCCGCCCCGAGCA